Molecule: ribosomal RNA, 253 nt
Filed under: uncultured bacterium
Lineage: Bacteria
Description: partial 16S ribosomal RNA
Rfam family: Bacterial small subunit ribosomal RNA
Source: RNAcentral
UACGUAGGGGGCAAGCGUUGUCCGGAUUUAUUGGGCGUAAAGAGCGUGUAGGCGGCCGCACAGGUCCGUUGUGAAAACUGGAGGCUUAACCUUCAGACGUCGAUGGAAACCGUGCGGCUAGAGUCCGGAAGAGGAGAAUGGAAUUCCUGGUGUAGCGGUGAAAUGCGCAGAUAUCAGGAAGAACACCAAUGGCGAAGGCAGCUCUCUGGGACGGUACUGACGCUGAGACGCGAAAGCGUGGGGAGCGAACAGG